RNAcentral lists this non-coding RNA (23 nucleotides) under Cricetulus griseus (Chinese hamster). The record is from RNAcentral. Lineage: Eukaryota; Metazoa; Chordata; Mammalia; Rodentia; Cricetidae.
UUGUUUCUGUCAUUUACUGCUCA